GGGGAGCUGGCGCAACGGUAGCGCGUCAGAUUCCAGUGGCUCUGGUGUCCUCCGAAGAUUAUCAGCCGGGAAUUCCUGAAGGUUAUCGGUUCAAAUCCGGUGUUCCUCA
This is a non-coding RNA of Fusarium torreyae, 109 nucleotides long. The record is from the annotation of a GenBank genome assembly. Lineage: Eukaryota; Fungi; Ascomycota; Sordariomycetes; Hypocreales; Nectriaceae.